Molecule: long non-coding RNA, 1561 nt
Organism: Onychomys torridus (southern grasshopper mouse)
Lineage: Eukaryota; Metazoa; Chordata; Mammalia; Rodentia; Cricetidae
Exons: 3
Source: RefSeq, a predicted model, not a curated record
CUGGUAGUAACCAGUGGUGCCUAAUACUGCCUUCUUAAAGCCAUAGCAAAGUACUCAAAUACUGGAUGUACAACUUUGAGGCCCCAUUCAGCUGAAAGAAGUGGUGCUAUCAAUGAAGUUCAUGCGGUCUGUGAGGAGUGAGUUAAACUCUGGGACAUAAGCUAAAGGAGCAGGGGCUCCUACUUCAGCAGGAUACCAAAGGCCAGUAGAAAAUACAGCAUAUUUAACUCCUAAGAGGGCAUCACCCAAGUGAAUGUCUUUCAAUAGAAAAGUCCAAGAAGAGUGACUGCGUAUUGAAGACGGGUUUGGUGAAUGAGUGCGUCCCAGACCGCACUUCCUACAUUCCACCUUCAGCUAGAGCGCCACCUCAAGGCAGACUGAUGGACAUGUCAAGACACAUGUUAUAAAUUCUAGGGGGGAGACUUAUGCAAAAGCAGGUAUGCCAUAAACACUGUUGUUUCCUGUCAUCAUGUGCACACCCAAGAUCCACUUAAGGGUGGCAGACAGCCACUCUUCUACUCUGCUGGACUGACAGUGAGUGUGUACUUCCACCACACUCAAAGCCAUGAACUGAUCAUAAAUUGAACAAAAACAAUAGCAUGGAAACAAACACUUCCUCUGUGUUUCUUACUUUUCCUUAUCUUAGUAUAUUAUUUCAGUCAUUACUAAAAAUUAAGAAGAAAUAACAUAAAAUACUUUGCUUCAAUGAACUUAUGUCCUAGGAUAGCAUUGUCCAGGAAAAUAUUCUGUGAGAUGAAAAAUGUGUAUGCCUGUUUUUCUAUUGGCCAUUCUACUCACCAGUAACUACUGAGCAGUUUUAUGAGGCUAGUAAGAGUGAGAACUGAAAUCCAAAUAGUAUUAAUAGUUCAGCUACAGUUAGCUGAUGAGAACUGUCCUUAAAGAAAAAAUUAAAACUACUGACUCUAUACAGUGAUUUAAAAAUUACUAUUUAGAAAUAUCAACAUUCUCAAGGCAAAACGACUUCUAGAAAUAAUGUCUACCAUGCCACCCAUAAAAAACAGUGACUCUGAGAAAGCAGAAUUAUUUAAGCAACCAUGUUUCUCUACUUAAAUACAAAAUCAAUUAUGAAAAAAUCAUGGCAGCACCUGAACACAAGCACUGUAAGCAUCACUGUGUACAUAAGAGGAAGAACCACAGCUAGCAACAAAUGCUGAAGCUCUCCUGGUUCAUAGUCACCUGAGCACAUCCACUGGACUUUAUCUCCUGGUAUUUUAUACAAUACCUUAUCCUAAUACUCAUCUGUGCUUCAGGAAGACUGUUUAUUAAAAACUGUAUAGGUGAAGGUGGACUGGAGGAGACAGUGGUACAAAGAGAAGAGGGAGAGGGAUCCCAGUAGAUGAAGGGAGAUAGAAGGAAAGAAGGGAAAGGAAAAGGCUGGGAAAGGCUCAGGGAGCAUAGUAAGAGCUCAGAGGAAGGGAGUGAAAGGGAUGGAGGGACCCAUGUGCUCCCUGCUGGAACUGGCUGUUGGAAGAGGUGUAAGCUUAUGUCCUUACUGGGAGGAGGGAAGGGGUGGCUGGGGAGUGAACAAAAAGAGGAAGUG